RNAcentral lists this ribosomal RNA (785 nucleotides) under Pseudomonas sp. Its description in RNAcentral is "bacterial SSU rRNA". It matches the Rfam family "Bacterial small subunit ribosomal RNA", at positions 124 to 904 of the family's 1533-position model. Lineage: Bacteria; Pseudomonadati; Pseudomonadota; Gammaproteobacteria; Pseudomonadales; Pseudomonadaceae. The record is from RNAcentral.
AUCUGCCUGGUAGUGGGGGACAACGUUUCGAAAGGAACGCUAAUACCGCAUACGUCCUACGGGAGAAAGCAGGGGACCUUCGGGCCUUGCGCUAUCAGAUGAGCCUAGGUCGGAUUAGCUAGUUGGUGAGGUAAUGGCUCACCAAGGCGACGAUCCGUAACUGGUCUGAGAGGAUGAUCAGUCACACUGGAACUGAGACACGGUCCAGACUCCUACGGGAGGCAGCAGUGGGGAAUAUUGGACAAUGGGCGAAAGCCUGAUCCAGCCAUGCCGCGUGUGUGAAGAAGGUCUUCGGAUUGUAAAGCACUUUAAGUUGGGAGGAAGGGCAUUAACCUAAUACGUUAGUGUUUUGACGUUACCGACAGAAUAAGCACCGGCUAACUCUGUGCCAGCAGCCGCGGUAAUACAGAGGGUGCAAGCGUUAAUCGGAAUUACUGGGCGUAAAGCGCGCGUAGGUGGUUUGUUAAGUUGGAUGUGAAAGCCCCGGGCUCAACCUGGGAACUGCAUCCAAAACUGGCAAGCUAGAGUACGGUAGAGGGUGGUGGAAUUUCCUGUGUAGCGGUGAAAUGCGUAGAUAUAGGAAGGAACACCAGUGGCGAAGGCGACCACCUGGACUGAUACUGACACUGAGGUGCGAAAGCGUGGGGAGCAAACAGGAUUAGAUACCCUGGUAGUCCACGCCGUAAACGAUGUCAACUAGCCGUUGGAAUCCUUGAGAUUUUAGUGGCGCAGCUAACGCAUUAAGUUGACCGCCUGGGGAGUACGGCCGCAAGGUUAAAACUCAA